Molecule: ribosomal RNA, 345 nt
Filed under: bacterium
Lineage: Bacteria
Description: partial 23S ribosomal RNA
Rfam family: Bacterial large subunit ribosomal RNA (bases 1-300)
Source: RNAcentral
GUAGCAACAACAAGUCUAAAAAGUAACGAAGGAGUCCAUUAAGGUCCUCUAGGCGCGAAUGGAAACCGUGCCGAUAGUGCAAUGGCAUAAGAGGGCUUGACUGUGAGGCGUACUUGCCGAGCAGACGCGAAAGCGGGGCAUAGUGAACCGACGGUCCGUGUUAGAGGCGGCCGGAGAUUAUCGGAUAAAAGCUACUCUGGGGAUAACAGGCUAGUUCCGCCUAAGAGUCCAAAUCGACGGCGGAGUUCGGCACCUUAACAAAUCGGGGUGCCAUGUCAGUAAUGAUAUUAGCCGUUUUGGCAAUCCAGUUAGGAGCUGGUGUGCCAAAACAAAAAACUUGGCUUA